CACGCACACCGCAACGUUUGACAUUUCAGACGCAGCGCGCGACAACAUUACAACCUUAAAUCGCCUCCUGACAAGGAAUUGCGUCAGGCUGAAACUUUGGAUACGGCCGUACAAGUUAUCUUAAAAAGUACAAAAGUUUUUGCUUUUGGACUAUUUUGUGUUUAAGACUUUUAAAGUUACAAUAAUUUCAAAAAUGUAAAAAAAAAGGUAUAAAUGACUUACGAAUGAACCUAUAUAAUGCGAAUUGUGAAGUGUUGACUAAAAUGUUGUAUCGAGUGCAUAAUUGCGUUUUCGAGUGAACGUGUGAGUGACUGAAAAAAGACAGCUAAAGGUUUUCUCACGAGUUCACAGCUCGUUAAUUCGAAGAUAAUUUAAAGAAGACGUCUUCGCUUGCGUUCGCUCAUCGGUGAUAAAAUUUAUGACGAACGAAUAGUUCAAUGCUCAACAUCUAACAUAUGACGUUAUCAAAAAGGAAACAUGACUUGGUGGCCGCGAGCGCGCGAGAAAGGUGUAUUAGGAUGAGCUGGGGGCGUAUGGGG
This 539-nucleotide unclassified non-coding RNA is filed under the name Melitaea cinxia (Glanville fritillary). RNAcentral describes it as "misc RNA ENSMCXG00005005961.1". The record is from RNAcentral. Lineage: Eukaryota; Metazoa; Arthropoda; Insecta; Lepidoptera; Nymphalidae.